RNAcentral lists this transfer RNA (61 nucleotides) under marine eukaryotic metagenome. It matches the Rfam family "tRNA", at positions 8 to 63 of the family's 71-position model. Rfam says of the family: Transfer RNA (tRNA) molecules are approximately 80 nucleotides in length. Their secondary structure includes four short double-helical elements and three loops (D, anti-codon, and T loops). Further hydrogen bonds mediate the characteristic L-shaped molecular structure. tRNAs have two regions of fundamental functional importance: the anti-codon, which is responsible for specific mRNA codon recognition, and the 3' end, to which the tRNAs corresponding amino acid is attached (by aminoacyl-tRNA synthetases). tRNAs cope with the degeneracy of the genetic code in two manners: having more than one tRNA (with a specific anti-codon) for a particular amino acid; and 'wobble' base-pairing, i.e. permitting non-standard base-pairing at the 3rd anti-codon position. The record is from RNAcentral.
CAUAGCUCAGUUGGUUAGAGCGGCUGACUGUUAAUCAGUAGGUCCCUGGUUCGAGUCCAGG